CGGCGCUGAGGCGGCGGAGCGUGGCCCCGCCAUGGGCUUCCUGCACCAGCUGCAGCUGCUGCUCUGGAAGAACGUGACGCUCAAGCGCCGGAGCCCGUGGGUCCUGGCCUUCGAGAUCUUCAUCCCCCUGGUGCUGUUCUUCAUCCUGCUGGGGCUGCGGCAGAAGAAGCCCACCAUCUCCGUGAAGGAAGCCUUCUACACAGCGGCACCCCUGACGUCUGCUGGCAUCCUGCCUGUCAUGCAGUCGCUGUGCCCGGACGGCCAGCGGGACGAGUUCGGCUUCCUGCAGUACGCCAACUCCACGUGAGUGCCCACCCGCCCCUCGGAGCACCCACCCCUCCCCAGCCCAUCCAGUGAGUGACAUCUGCCACGGUGCAGGGUCACGCAGCUGCUUGAGCGCCUGGACCGCGUGGUGGAGGAAGGAAACCUGUUCGACCCAGCGCGGCCCAGCCUGGGCUCAGAGCUCGAGGCCCUGCGCCAGCAUCUGGAGGCCCUCAGUGCGGGCCCGGGCACCUCGGGGAGCCACCUGGACAGAUCCACAGUGUCUUCCUUCUCUCUGGACUCGGUGGCCAGGGACCCGCAGGAGCUCUGGCGUUUCCUGACGCAAAACCUGUCGCUGCCCAAUAGCACGGCCCAAGCCCUCUUGGCCGCCCGUGUGGACCCGCCUGAGGUCUACCACCUGCUCUUUGGUCCCUCGUCUGCCCUGGAUUCACAGUCUGGCCUCCACAAGGGUCAGGAGCCCUGGAGCCGCCUAGGGGGCAAUCCCCUGUUCCGGAUGGAGGAGCUGCUGCUGGCUCCUGCCCUCCUGGAGCAGCUCACCUGCACGCCAGGCUCGGGGGAGCUGGGCCGGAUCCUCACUGUGCCUGAGAGUCAGAAGGGGGCCCUGCAGGGCUACCAGGAUGCUGUCUGCAGUGGACAGGCUGCUGCGCGUGCCAGGCGCUUCUCUGGGCUGUCUGCUGAGCUCCAGAACCAGCUGGACAUGGCCAGGGUCUCCCAGCAGCUGGGCCUGGAUGCCCCCAACGGCUCGGACUCCUCGCCACAGGCGCCACCCCCACGGAGACUGCAGGCGCUUCUGGGGGACCUGCUGGAUGCCCAGAAGGUUCUGCAGGAUGUGGAUGUCCUGUCGGCCCUGGCCCUGCUACUGCCCCAGGGUGCCUGCACUGGCCGGACCCCCGGACCCCCAGCCAGCGGUGCGGGUGGGGCGGCCAAUGGCACUGGGGCAGGGGCAGUCGUGGGCCCCAACGCCACUGCUGAGGAGGGCGCACCCUCUGCUGCAGCACCGGCCUCCCCGGACACGCUGCAGGGCCAGUGCUCAGCCUUCGUACAGCUCUGGGCCGGCCUGCAGCCCAUCUUGUGUGGCAACAACCGCACCAUUGAACCCGAGGCGCUGCGGCGGGGCAACAUGAGCUCCCUGGGCUUCACAAGCAAGGAGCAGCGGAACCUGGGCCUCCUCGUGCACCUCAUGACCAGCAACCCCAAAAUCCUGUACGCGCCUGCGGGCUCUGAGGUUGACCGCGUCAUCCUCAAGGCCAACGAGACUUUUGCCUUUGUGGGCAACGUGACUCACUAUGCCCAGGUCUGGCUCAACAUCUCGGCGGAGAUCCGCAGCUUCCUGGAGCAGGGCAGGCUGCAGCAACACCUGCACUGGCUGCAGCAGUAUGUAGCGGAGCUGCGGCUGCACCCCGAGGCACUGAACCUGUCGCUGGAUGAGCUGCCGCCGGCCCUGAGACAGGACAACUUCUCGCUGCCCAGUGGCAUGGCCCUCCUGCAGCAGCUGGAUACCAUUGACAACGCGGCCUGCGGCUGGAUCCAGUUCAUGUCCAAGGUGAGCGUGGACAUCUUCAAGGGCUUCCCCGACGAGGAGAGCAUUGUCAACUACACCCUCAACCAGGCCUACCAGGACAACGUCACUGUGUUUGCCAGUGUGAUCUUCCAGACCCGGAAGGACGGCUCGCUCCCGCCUCACGUGCACUACAAGAUCCGCCAAAACUCCAGCUUCACCGAGAAAACCAACGAGAUCCGUCGCGCCUACUGGCGGCCUGGGCCCAAUACUGGCGGCCGC
Molecule: small RNA, 2062 nt
Filed under: Pongo abelii (Sumatran orangutan)
Lineage: Eukaryota; Metazoa; Chordata; Mammalia; Primates; Hominidae
Description: retained intron
Source: RNAcentral